This 775-nucleotide ribosomal RNA is filed under the name uncultured bacterium. RNAcentral describes it as "bacterial SSU rRNA". It matches the Rfam family "Bacterial small subunit ribosomal RNA", at positions 8 to 765 of the family's 1533-position model. The record is from RNAcentral.
AGAGUUUGAUCCUGGCUCAGCGCGAACGCUGGCGGCAUGCCUAACACAUGCAAGUCGUACGGAGAGUGGGGCAACUCACUCUCAGUGGCAAACGGGUGAGUAACGCGUGAAUAACCUGCCUUUGAGAAGGGGAUAACUGUCCGAAAGGAUAGCUAAUACCCUAUAUUGCCUUUUGUCACUAAGGCAAAAGGUGAAAGCGAGGCUGUCAAAGGCUUCGGCUCAAAGAGGGGUUCGCGUCCUAUCAGGUAGUUGGUGGGGUAAUGGCCUACCAAGCCAAUGACGGGUAGCUGGUCUUAGAGGAUGAUCAGCCACAGUGGGACUGAGACACGGCCCGCACCCCUACGGGGGGCAGCAGUGGGGAAUCGUGGGCAAUGGGCGCAAGCCUGACCCCGCAAUGCCGCGUGAGGGAGGAAGCCCUUCGGGGUGUAAACCUCUGUCAGAUGGGAAGAUGGGGCUAGGGGCUAAUACCUCCUGGUCUUGACGGUACCAUCAGAGGAAGGGACGGCUAACUACGUGCCAGCAGCCGCGGUAAUACGUAGGUCCCGAGCGUUGCGCGAUGUUACUGGGCGUAAAGCGUCCGUAGCUGGUUUCGUAAGCGGAUUGUCAAAACCCGAAGCUCAACUUCGGCAAGGCAUUCCGAACUGCCUUACUUGAGUCCUGUUCAGGUAGGCGGAAUUCCCGGUGUAGCGGUGAAAUGCGUAAAUAUCGGGGAGGAACACAGUGGCGAAGGCGGCCCACUGGGACGGUCCUGACGGUCAUUGGACCAAAACCGGGG